This 30-nucleotide non-coding RNA is filed under the name Rattus norvegicus (Norway rat). The record is from RNAcentral. Lineage: Eukaryota; Metazoa; Chordata; Mammalia; Rodentia; Muridae.
UCACUCUGGGUUCAGCUUUGCUCUAGGUGU